Molecule: long non-coding RNA, 279 nt
Organism: Scophthalmus maximus (turbot)
Lineage: Eukaryota; Metazoa; Chordata; Actinopteri; Pleuronectiformes; Scophthalmidae
Exons: 3
Source: RefSeq, a predicted model, not a curated record
GUCCGAGCUGUAGGUCUCCAGCAGCUCCACGAUGUGAGGGUGUUUGAGCAUGUGGCAGAUGCUGGCCUCUCGCUUCAGAUCUGGAAAACAGAAAAUGAAAAGGGGGAGUACGGUCAUUUCCUUGUCUUGCUGUUAUUGGCUGCCGCACUAAUCUCUGACUGGGACCUCACAGAUGGCACAGAGCCGCAGUGACGAUCCUCUCGUGUCCUGAUUCUGUUAACCCAACCCAUCUGGCGCUUCGAGUGCACGACGACACCCGUGAAGAUUUAAACGCGGCCG